This 1020-nucleotide long non-coding RNA is filed under the name Nannospalax galili (Upper Galilee mountains blind mole rat). RNAcentral describes it as "lncRNA (ENSNGAG00000024435.1)". The record is from RNAcentral. Lineage: Eukaryota; Metazoa; Chordata; Mammalia; Rodentia; Spalacidae.
AAGUCUUUCCUGGUUUUCAUCCCCUACCCCUUCAACUCAGUUCCCAGUGGUAGCAGAAAGACAUCAUGUGACCAUGUUGGCAAGUGUGACCUACUAUGUUUCUGAGAUCCCAGCUUCUAUUAACCAGGAGCUCUCACUCCUGCUCCAUGAGCUGUUGUGCAAGAACCCUCUCUACCUGCUACGUUAUCUGCAUCACUUCCAGAUCCACCCUUUCUUUCGGGGUGUGGCCUUUGACCCUGAGCUCCUACAGAAGCAGCCAGUGAACUUUGUCAUGGAGAUGCGAGAUACUAGGCCCAGUCCAUUGGAGUCAGUGCCCUUCAAGGAUUUUGACUGUGAUCUGGAGUCCUUCCUGGUCCACUCCAUCUCUGCUUCACCCUCUCUUCUGUAUUAGGAUCCAGCUGGAAACCUGAGGAUCUCCACUGCCAACUCUACGACCAACUUGAAGAUCCAAUUUUUACUUUGUUGUCCUUUACUAUUCUGUUGUAGGUGUUGGAUCAGAGUCGAAACCUUUGACAUUCUGAAACUGAUAGCCAAAACUGGAACUACUGCUUUCCCAUAGUACAAUCCACCUCUCAGUUCAACAUCUCAGUUCAAGUUGGUGGACUUUCUCUUUGCCUCAUUUCUCCAGUACUCUUUCCCUUAAGCUGCCAACUAAAGGAUACUUAUACUCCCCCACUCCCAUUUUUCUACCAUGUUUCCUUUCUUUUGAAGUAGUGUCACUUCAUGGGCUCCCAAGGUGCUAUUUAUGUUUAUAGUCAAAAGCAAUAAGUAGUCAAAAGCAAUAUAAAUGCUUUUCAAAGGUCUCAAAGAGCUGGCAUUUCAACACAUGAAUAAAUAUGCAAUUUUAGAAUAUGAUUUAUGCUGGGUGCGGUAUUGCAUAUCUUUAAUCCCAGUACUCGGGAGGCAGAGGCAGGCAGAUCUCUGUGAGUUCAAGGCUAGCCUGGUCUACAUAGUGAGUUCCAGGACAUAGUGAGUUCCUGGUCAGCUGGGGCUACAGGGAGACCCUGUCUCAAAAAGACC